UACAGAGGUCUCAAGCGUUGUUCGGAUUCAUUGGGCGUAAAGGGUGUGUAGGUGGCGCCGUAAGUCGGGUGUGAAAUUUCGGAGCUUAACUCCGAAACUGCAUUCGAUACUGCGGUGCUUGAGGACUGGAGAGGAGACUGGAAUUCUCGGUGUAGCAGUGAAAUGCGUAGAUAUCGAGAGGAACACCAGUGGCGAAGGCGAGUCCCUGGACAACUCCUGACACUGAGGCACGAAAGCUAGGGGAGCAAACAGG
RNAcentral lists this ribosomal RNA (253 nucleotides) under uncultured bacterium. RNAcentral's name for it is "partial 16S ribosomal RNA". It matches the Rfam family "Bacterial small subunit ribosomal RNA", at positions 524 to 776 of the family's 1533-position model. The record is from RNAcentral.